UGAGGAAUUUUGGUCAAUGGGGGAAACCCUGAACCAGCGACGCCGCGUGUGGGACGAAGGGGCUUUGCCCUGUAAACCACUGUCGGGAGGGAAGAAAAGUCCGUUUGACGGACUGGGACAGUACCUCAAAAGGAAGGAUCGGCUAACUACGUGCCAGCAGCCGCGGUAAUACGUAGGAUCCAAGCGUUGUCCGGAUUUACUGGGUAUAAAGGGUGCGCAGGCGGGCUUGUGCGUCAGAGGUUAAAUACUUCGGCUCAACCGAAGAAAUGCCUUUGAUACGGCAAGUCUUGAGUGCGAGAGAGGAUGGUAGAAUUCCUGGUGUAGCGGUGAAAUGCGUAGAUAUCAGGAGGAAUACCAGUGGCGAAGGCGGCCAUCUGGCUCGCAACUGACGCUUAGGCACGAAAGCGUGGGGAGCAAACAGG
Molecule: ribosomal RNA, 422 nt
Filed under: uncultured bacterium
Lineage: Bacteria
Description: bacterial SSU rRNA
Rfam family: Bacterial small subunit ribosomal RNA
Source: RNAcentral